This 75-nucleotide antisense RNA is filed under the name Streptomyces sp. WM4235. RNAcentral's name for it is "ASpks TB sRNA". It matches the Rfam family "ASpks TB sRNA". Lineage: Bacteria; Bacillati; Actinomycetota; Actinomycetes; Kitasatosporales; Streptomycetaceae. The record is from Rfam by way of RNAcentral.
CUUCAGGGACCCGAGGUACAGCGGGCGGUCCUCCGGCCGGUCCUGCCCGUACGUCGCCAGCAGGGCCUGCGCCUC